AAGUCGAGCGGACAGAAGGGAGCUUGCUCCCGGAUGUUAGCGGCGGACGGGUGAGUAACACGUGGGUAACCUGCCUGUAAGACUGGGAUAACUCCGGGAAACCGGAGCUAAUACCGGAUAGUUCCUUGAACCGCAUGGUUCAAGGAUGAAAGACGGUUUCGGCUGUCACUUACAGAUGGACCCGCGGCGCAUUAGCUAGUUGGUGAGGUAACGGCUCACCAAGGCGACGAUGCGUAGCCGACCUGAGAGGGUGAUCGGCCACACUGGGACUGAGACACGGCCCAGACUCCUACGGGAGGCAGCAGUAGGGAAUCUUCCGCAAUGGACGAAAGUCUGACGGAGCAACGCCGCGUGAGUGAUGAAGGUUUUCGGAUCGUAAAGCUCUGUUGUUAGGGAAGAACAAGUGCAAGAGUAACUGCUUGCACCUUGACGGUACCUAACCAGAAAGCCACGGCUAACUACGUGCCAGCAGCCGCGGUAAUACGUAGGUGGCAAGCGUUGUCCGGAAUUAUUGGGCGUAAAGGGCUCGCAGGCGGUUUCUUAAGUCUGAUGUGAAAGCCCCCGGCUCAACCGGGGAGGGUCAUUGGAAACUGGGAAACUUGAGUGCAGAAGAGGAGAGUGGAAUUCCACGUGUAGCGGUGAAAUGCGUAGAGAUGUGGAGGAACACCAGUGGCGAAGGCGACUCUCUGGUCUGUAACUGACGCUGAGGAGCGAAAGCGUGGGGAGCGAACAGGAUUAGAUACCCUGGUAGUCCACGCCGUAAACGAUGAGUGCUAAGUGUUAGGGGGUUUCCGCCCCUUAGUGCUGCAGCUAACGCAUUAAGCACUCCGC
Molecule: ribosomal RNA, 831 nt
Filed under: Bacillus sp. SK139
Lineage: Bacteria; Bacillati; Bacillota; Bacilli; Caryophanales; Bacillaceae
Description: bacterial SSU rRNA
Rfam family: Bacterial small subunit ribosomal RNA
Source: RNAcentral